AAAGUCAAACUCAAACAUGAGAAGUAAGACCACUAGGACAAGCCUAGGGUCAAAAGGAGGUGAAAAAUUCAAAACAACAAGUGAAAAUUGAUCAAAAUCAAUAUUUAUCAAUCAAGAGUAGAAUCUAAUUGGUCUCACAUCAAAACUAUGCACCAAAUCCAUUUCAUACUCAAAACAUGUCAAACUAUACACUUUAGAAUCACAUUGGAGCCAACAGAAUGAUCACACUCAAACCAUUACCAAAAUAGCUCAAUAAAUGCCAAGAAAAUUCAA
RNAcentral lists this long non-coding RNA (273 nucleotides) under Lathyrus oleraceus (garden pea). RNAcentral's name for it is "Pisum sativum (pea) long non-coding RNA (PSAT_LNC009869)". Lineage: Eukaryota; Viridiplantae; Streptophyta; Magnoliopsida; Fabales; Fabaceae. The record is from RNAcentral.